GAUGANCGCUAGCGGCAGGCUUAAUACAUGCAAGUCGAGGGGCAGCGCAGUGUAGCAAUACAUGGGCGGCGACCGGCAAACGGGUGCGGAACACGUACGCAACCUACCCAAAACUGGGGAAUAGCCCGGGGAAACCCGGAUUAAUACCUCGUAACCUAUUGGAGUGGCAUCACUUUAAUAGUAUAGCUCCGGCGGUUUUGGAUGGGCGUGCGCCUGAUUAGGUAGUUGGUGAGGGUAACGGCCCACCAAGCCUGCGAUCAGUAACUGGUGUGAGAGCACGACCAGUCACACGGGCACUGAGACACGGGCCCGACUCCUACGGGAGGCAGCAGUAAGGAAUAUUGGUCAAUGGACGCAAGUCUGAACCAGCCAUGCCGCGUGAAGGAUGAAGGUCCUCUGGAUUGUAAACUUCUUUUAUAUGGGACGAAACCUGGGAAUUCCUUCCCAAUUGACGGUACCAUAAGAAUAAGCACCGGCUAACUCCGUGCCAGCAGCCGCGGUAAUACGGAGGGUGCAAGCGUUAUCCGGAUUCACUGGGUUUAAAGGGUGCGUAGGAGGGUAGGUAAGUCAGUGGUGAAAUCUUCGAGCUUAACUCGGAAACUGCCGUUGAUACUAUCUAUCUUGAAUACCGUGGAAGUGAGCGGAAUAUGUCAUGUAGCGGUGAAAUGCUUAGAUAUGACAUAGAACACCAAUUGCGAAGGCAGCUCGCUACACGAAUAUUGACUCUGAGNACGAAAGCGUGGGAUCAACAGGAUUAGAUACCCUGGUAGUCCACGCCCUAACGAUGGAUACUCGACAUACGCGAUACACAGUGUGUGUCUGAGCGAAAGCAUAAGUAUCCCACCUGGGAGUACGACCGCAGGN
This 864-nucleotide ribosomal RNA is filed under the name uncultured bacterium. RNAcentral describes it as "bacterial SSU rRNA". It matches the Rfam family "Bacterial small subunit ribosomal RNA", at positions 28 to 893 of the family's 1533-position model. The record is from RNAcentral.